CGUGCAUAGCCAGAACUGAGUUUGGCUCAGAGUGCCCUAUUUGCAAAGACCAAUCUGCAGAUCGAGUUCCUUUUGAUCAAGUUUGCGAACAUGAUUGGUGCAACUGUAUCCAAGUUUUGGAAGCCGGAUGUCACUCAUGUGAUUGCUUCUACAGAUGGGAAUGGUGCAUACACCAGGACACUUAAAAGUUCUCAUGGCCAUUUCAAACGGGAAGUGGAUUCUUAAUAUAAAUUGGGUAAAGGAGUGCUUGAAAGCCAUGCAUCCUUUGAGUGAGGAACCUUACAGUUAGUCUCGAUAACCACAGGUGUCGUGAUG
Molecule: long non-coding RNA, 315 nt
Organism: Hibiscus syriacus
Lineage: Eukaryota; Viridiplantae; Streptophyta; Magnoliopsida; Malvales; Malvaceae
Exons: 3
Source: RefSeq, a predicted model, not a curated record